UGGGGAAUAUUGGACAAUGGGCGAAAGCCUGAUCCAGCCAUGCCGCGUGAGUGAUGAAGGCCCUAGGGUUGUAAAGCUCUUUCACCGGUGAAGAUAAUGACGGUAACCGGAGAAGAAGCCCCGGCUAACUUCGUGCCAGCAGCCGCGGUAAUACGAAGGGGGCUAGCGUUGUUCGGAAUUACUGGGCGUAAAGGGCGCGUAGGCGGCCUGUUAAGUCAGACGUGAAAUCCCUCGGCUCAACCGGGGAACUGCGUCUGAUACUGGCGGGCUUGAAUUCGGGAGAGGGAUGUGGAAUUCCAGGUGUAGCGGUGAAAUGCGUAGAUAUCUGGAGGAACACCGGUGGCGAAGGCGGCAUCCUGGACCGACAUUGACGCUGAGGCGCGAAAGCCAGGGGAGCAAA
Molecule: ribosomal RNA, 400 nt
Filed under: uncultured bacterium
Lineage: Bacteria
Description: bacterial SSU rRNA
Rfam family: Bacterial small subunit ribosomal RNA
Source: RNAcentral